AACUUAGAUUUUUAUGAGAAAUUUAAAGUUAUCAUUAAAUGAUUCCAAUAAGUUUGCAGAAUAAUUAUAAAAUGGACUUAAUUGAGUAUAUUUAUAUGCGAAUUGCUAGAUGUUGACAAAAACUUGUAUAUAUUUAUAGGACACUUAAGACAUAAGCUUUUGGAUGUAUGAGAGUACCUUGAAUUGAGAGACAUCAAUGGAAAAAAAGAAUUAUUUUUAAUAAACUUCUGAAGAUUGCAGAACUUUGUAUCCACCUAUAUGAUCUCUUAAUUUUUUUAAUCGACUUCUGGUGCAAGGAAGUCCAAUAAAAGUAGUAAAAGUUUUUAAUAAUAGGAAACUGGAAACUAAUGCCUUCCACUGGGCAGGGCAUCAUAGUUCUACCUUUCCCAAUCCUACAUUAUAACGGACAUUAUAAUUUUAAUGAUUAUACACGAUUUUCAUGAAAAGAUGUAGU
Leptopilina boulardi is the source of this 454-nucleotide long non-coding RNA. RefSeq lists it as uncharacterized. Lineage: Eukaryota; Metazoa; Arthropoda; Insecta; Hymenoptera; Figitidae. The record is from RefSeq and is a predicted model, not a curated record. The transcript has 3 exons.